RNAcentral lists this ribosomal RNA (473 nucleotides) under uncultured bacterium. RNAcentral describes it as "bacterial SSU rRNA". It matches the Rfam family "Bacterial small subunit ribosomal RNA", at positions 335 to 800 of the family's 1533-position model. The record is from RNAcentral.
ACUCCUACGGGAGGCAGCAGUGGGGAAUAUUGCACAAUGGGCGCAAGCCUGAUGCAGCCAUGCCGCGUGUAUGAAGAAGGCCUUCGGGUUGUAAAGUACUUUCAGCAGUGAGGAAGGUGGGUAUGUUAAUAGCAUACUCAUUUGACGUUAGCUGCAGAAGAAGCACCGGCUAACUCCGUGCCAGCAGCCGCGGUAAUACGGAGGGUGCGAGCGUUAAUCGGAAUUACUGGGCGUAAAGCGCAUGCAGGUGGUUUGUUAAGUCAGAUGUGAAAGCCCGGGGCUCAACCUCGGAAUUGCAUUUGAAACUGGCAAACUAGAGUACUGUAGAGGGGGGUAGAAUUUCAGGUGUAGCGGUGAAAUGCGUAAGAGAUCUGAAGGAAUACCGGUGGCGAAGGCGGCCCCCUGGACAGAUACUGACACUCAGAUGCGAAAGCUGGGGGAGCAAACAGGAUUAGAUACCCUGGUAGGCUCGC